RNAcentral lists this ribosomal RNA (253 nucleotides) under uncultured bacterium. RNAcentral's name for it is "partial 16S ribosomal RNA". It matches the Rfam family "Bacterial small subunit ribosomal RNA", at positions 524 to 776 of the family's 1533-position model. The record is from RNAcentral.
UACAGAGGUCUCGAGCGUUAGGCGGAAUCACUGGGCUUAAAGCGUGUGUAGGCGGAUGUCUAAGUACCUUGUGAAAUCCCACGGCUUAACCGUGGAACUGCUUGGUAUACUGGAUGUCUUGAGCCAUCUAGGGGCAACUGGAACGAAUGGUGGAGCGGUGAAAUGCGUAGAUAUCAUUCGGAACGCCGGUGGUGAAAACGGGUUGCUGGGGAUGUGCUGACGCUGAGACACGAAAGCUAGGGGAGCAAACGGG